This 341-nucleotide unclassified non-coding RNA is filed under the name soil metagenome. RNAcentral describes it as "partial contains 5.8S ribosomal RNA, internal transcribed spacer 2, and large subunit ribosomal RNA". The stretch from base 1 to 120 matches the Rfam family "5.8S ribosomal RNA", at positions 35 to 154 of the family's 154-position model. The record is from RNAcentral.
GAUGAAGAACGCAGCGAAAUGCGAUAAGUAGUGUGAAUUGCAGAAUUCAGUGAAUCAUCGAAUCUUUGAACGCACAUUGCGCCCUUUGGUAUUCCAAAGGGCAUGCCUGUUCGAGCGUCAUUUGUACCCUCAAGCUUUGCUUGUUGUUGGGCGUCUUGUCUCUAGCUUUGCUGGAGACUCGCCUUAAAGUAAUUGGCAGCCGGCCUACUGGUUUCGGAGCGCAGCACAAGUCGCACUCUCUAUCAGCAAAGGUCUAGCAUCCAUUAAGCCUUUUUUUCAACUUUUGACCUCGGAUCAGGUAGGGAUACCCGCUGAACUUAAGCAUAUCAAUAAGCGGAGGA